AACGAACGCUGGCGGCGCGCCUAAUACAUGCAAGUCGAGCGAGAAGACGUAGCAAUACGUUUGUAAAGCGGCGAACGGGUGAGGAAUACAUGGGUAACCUACCCUCGAGUGGGGAAUAACUAGCCGAAAGGUUAGCUAAUACCGCGUACGCUCCUUGGACUUCGGUUCAGGGAGGAAAGCGAUACCGUGGGUAUCGCGCUCUUGGAUGGGCUCAUGUCCUAUCAGCUUGUUGGUGAGGUAACGGCUCACCAAGGCUUCGACGGGUAGCUGGUCUGAGAGGACGAUCAGCCACACUGGCACUGC
This 303-nucleotide ribosomal RNA is filed under the name uncultured soil bacterium. RNAcentral describes it as "bacterial SSU rRNA". It matches the Rfam family "Bacterial small subunit ribosomal RNA", at positions 29 to 322 of the family's 1533-position model. The record is from RNAcentral.